GUUUCUGAUGGGAGGAGGGAGGCUGACGAGCUCCCGGGCGGAUGGCGAGGCGCCUUUUGGAGGAGGAAGAGGGAGAGAAAGGGUCUCCAACAGCGAACCUUUGUCCUGGGAUGCAAAUGAGCCUGGGCCAAACAGAGCGCACACAAUGCCAGCUCCGUCCUCGGCGCGAACCGAUCCGUCUGCAGCGAUUUUGUUAACCCGAUGUUUCUGGCGUUCUUUCUCUUGCACAAAAUGCUUGAUGUUGACAGCUGUGAAUUUUAAACAACCAUUCUGUCUCCAAUUACGGCAUUCGGCAUUCGGGCAGCUGACCUGUGUCGGCUGGGAUAGCGGCGGUGCAAAGGCCCGGGUGUGCUUUUAAGCAUGAAGGGACACAGAAGAGCUCUCAGACGAAGGCCUGCAUUGACGAUACCAGGAUGGCUGCAUGAUUUUCUGAUUUACUUCUUUAUACCUUUGCUUCUUUGACAUAAAGCCGUCCACAACCCAAAACGCAAGUAAAGGAACACACACUCUGAACACACACACACACACAGAAAAGUUGCAAAGAAGGAAAUCAUAAGGCUCAUCAUGUUUGCACCCCACCCCCCACCCCGAGCUUUGAAAUCUGAGCCGGAGCUUCCUGGUAGCAAGAGUGAAAGAUGGAGGAUGACUAAUGUCAAGGGCUCACUUCCCCGGAGCGAGUGUACAUUUUUUCUGAGAGAGCAACUUUCCAAAUGCCUCAUUUUUAGGAAGUUUUAUACUCGGGGCUCCACAUAAGGGGACAAUGAGUAUAGAAGUUCAAUGUCAACUUGGAGAACAAAUGCAAUUGCAGGGUUCCCAGGGCAGAAGCAAAAAAAAAAAAAAAAAAAAAGGAAAACAAAUGGGCAUUUGUUCAUUUGUUGAGUGCCCACUGCAGUUGCAGGAGUCAAGGCCAUACUGAGGGUGGGGCAGAAGAGGCUGCAGUAGCUUGCAGCCCUAUGCUGUAGCCAGAGGGUGGAUGGCUGAACCAAACUUGUGGUUCUAACCUCGCCUAAAGAAAUGCAGCACCAGUGAGAAUGAGUGGCCUUGUGGGGUGUGACUUGAUGCAGACAGGCCUCCAGGGACCCGGUGGGGUAGAUGCCAAUGAAAUGUGCCUGCAUGACAGUUUCCUUAGCUGGGGCUCCGGAGGAACUGGAAGGCUAAUGGGGGUGGCGGUGGGGUCCUAUGGGUUACUUUGAGGACAAGUGAGCAGAUGUUGGAACUGACAGCCUGACCCGGAUAAACCUAACCUAUAAUGGUACUAGAAUCAGGGCCAUGCCUCUCCACCCAGGCAGGGCCCACAUAUGCUUAUUAUUAUUUUUUAGCAAUUGUGAAAUAUUUAUUUCUGCAGGAUAGACCUUAAA
RNAcentral lists this long non-coding RNA (1358 nucleotides) under Oryctolagus cuniculus (rabbit). RNAcentral's name for it is "lncRNA (ENSOCUG00000034107.1)". Lineage: Eukaryota; Metazoa; Chordata; Mammalia; Lagomorpha; Leporidae. The record is from RNAcentral.